RNAcentral lists this ribosomal RNA (484 nucleotides) under uncultured bacterium. Its description in RNAcentral is "partial 16S ribosomal RNA". It matches the Rfam family "Bacterial small subunit ribosomal RNA", at positions 30 to 507 of the family's 1533-position model. The record is from RNAcentral.
AUUGAACGCUGGCGGCAGGCCUAACACAUGCAAGUCGAGCGGAUGAAGGGAGCUUGCUCCUGGAUUCAGCGGCGGACGGGUGAGUAAUGCCUAGGAAUCUGCCUGGCAGUGGGGGAUAACGUCCGGACACGGGCGCUAAUACCGCAUACGUCCUUAGGGAGAAAGUGGGGGAUCUUCGGACCUCACGCUAUCAGAUGAGCCUAGGUCGGAUUAGCUAGUUGGUGGGGUAAAGGCCUACCAAGGCGACGAUCCGUAGCUGGUCUGAGAGGAUGAUCAGUCACACUGGAACUGAGACACGGUCCAGACUCCUACGGGAGGCAGCAGUGGGGAAUAUUGGACAAUGGGCGAAAGCCUGAUCCAGCCAUGCCGCGUGUGUGAAGAAGGUCUUCGGAUUGUAAAGCACUUUAAGUUGGGAGGAAGGGCAGUAAGUUAAUACCUUGCUGUUUUGACGGUACCAACAGAAUAAGCACCGGCUAACUUCGUG